Molecule: ribosomal RNA, 869 nt
Filed under: uncultured bacterium
Lineage: Bacteria
Description: bacterial SSU rRNA
Rfam family: Bacterial small subunit ribosomal RNA
Source: RNAcentral
GGCUCAGAAUGAACGCUGGCGGCGUGCCUAACACAUGCAAGUCGGAUGUGCCCGCAAGGGUGCAUGGCAGACGGGUGAGUAACGCGUGGGGAACCUACCUCUUUGUGGGGAAUAACGUUCCGAAAGGAAUGGUAAUACCGCAUGAGACCAUCGGCUGGGAUGCCGGUGGUGAAACCCAGGGACCGCAAGGCCUGGGGCAAGGAGAGGGUCCUGCGUCUGAUUAGCUAGUUGGCGGGGUAACGGCCCACCAAGGCAUCGAUCAGUAGCCGGCCUGAGAGGGUGAUCGGCCACACUGGAACUGAGACACGGUCCAGACUCCUACGGGAGGCAGCAGUGGGGAAUUUUGCGCAAUGGGCGAAAGCCUGACGCAGCAACGCCGCGUGGGUGAUGAAGGUCUUCGGAUCGUAAAACCCUGUCGUCAGGGACGAAGGUUGCAUGUCGAACAGAUGUGCAGCUUGACGGUACCUGGAGAGGAAGCCCCGGCUAACUCUGUGCCAGCAGCCGCGGUAAUACAGAGGGGGCAAGCGUUAUUCGGAAUUAUUGGGCGUAAAGGGCGCGUAGGCGGUGUCUUAAGUGAGAUGUGUAAUCCCCGAGCUUAACUUGGGAACUGCAUCUCAGACUGGGGCGCUAGAGUACUGGAGAGGGUGGUAGAAUUCCACGUGUAGCGGUGAAAUGCGUAGAGAUGUGGAGGAAUACCAGUGGCGAAGGCGGCCACCUGGACAGUAACUGACGCUGAGGCGCGAAAGUGUGGGGAGCAAACAGGAUUAGAUACCCUGGUAGUCCACGCUGUAAACGAUGAACACUUGGUGUGGUGGGAGUUGACCCCUGCCGUGCCGGAGCUAACGCGAUAAGUGUUCCGCCUGGGGAGU